CGCCGUACCAGCCGAGCGCGAGAGCGCCGAGGUUGGCAUGGCCCGCCCCGCUCGUGCGUCGACUGUUCCAAGACGCGUGCCGGGCCGCAUUCAUGGCCUCGGGACCCACACGGCGCACGGCGCGGACGAGUUUGGCAAAGGCGGAAUAGUCGCGCGCUCCGACGACGGCGUCCCACAAGAGGGCCACAUUGUGCGCCGUGCAAAAGUCUUGUGCCAACACGGCGUCGACAUGGCCACGCCGCGCUGCCGUCGUCGUCGCAGCGUCGACACGCGCCGUGUAGCGACUAUCGCGCGCGCGGCCGCAAUUUGCCAGGCGAGCGCACAGGGCCGCGGUCGCCUCUGCGUGCCCCGCCGCCAGCGCGCAGCACAGGCCGGUGCACAGCGCCGGAAGACGCAUGCCGGUGACGCACACCCUCCCGAGCGCGUCGUCUGCGCACAAGGGGGCGAUGACGCCCGACGCCACUCGCCGCCAAUGCUGGCACGAAUCUAGAGCGCGAGGAGCGCGCUCGACCAGCGUGAUGACGUGCUUCCAGCGGCCCACCGCACCCAGUGCCGCGCACACGCAAUCGAGUGCUGUCAAGGUAUCGUUGUUGGUGUUGUCGUUUAUAUCACCUCUUGCUCCUGAUGAAUUUGACGCGCCUGGGUGCCGUGGUGGGUGGCCAACGAGGCACAUGAGCGCAGCGGUGCGCGCGACCAACGACGCCACAUCGAGAUGCUCAGGCAGCCAAUCCACAAUCUCGACGGGCAGCAGCGUGUGGACGCCACAAUGGCCGCCGACAGCACGCCACCGGCGACACACCAUGAGGGGAACGCAUGGCAUGCGCCCUUUGCCGACAAACAUGAAAAUCAACCAGAGCAUUUCGUCG
This 866-nucleotide long non-coding RNA is filed under the name Pandoravirus neocaledonia. RNAcentral's name for it is "hypothetical ncRNA". The record is from RNAcentral.